UUCAACGGCCGCGGUAUUCUAACCGUGCAAAGGUAGCGUAAUCACUUGUCUCUUAAAUAGAGACUAGUAUGAAUGGCUAAAUGAGGACAAGCCUGUCUCCUAUAACCAAUCAGUGAAACUGAUCUUCCAGUCCAAAAGCUGGAAUACAAACACAAGACGAGAAGACCCUGUGGAGCUUUAAACCUACUACCAACAAAUUCAUUUGGUAAAACGUUUUGAGUUGGGGCGACUUCGGAAAAAAACAAAACUUCCGAGAGCAGAACCACCACUUCUAACCGAGGCAGACAUGCCAAAACAAACUUAGACCCAGUCACACUGAUCAACGAACCAAGUUACCCCAGGGAUAACAGCGCUAUCUUCUUCAAGAGUUCAUAUCGACAAGAAGGUUUACGACCUCGAUGUUGGAUCAGGACACCCAAAUGGUGCAGCCGCUAUUAAAGGUUCGUUUGUUCAACGAUUAA
This 461-nucleotide ribosomal RNA is filed under the name Sphenomorphus indicus. RNAcentral's name for it is "partial large subunit ribosomal RNA". It matches the Rfam family "Bacterial large subunit ribosomal RNA", at positions 1923 to 2591 of the family's 2925-position model. The record is from RNAcentral. Lineage: Eukaryota; Metazoa; Chordata; Lepidosauria; Squamata; Scincidae.